AACGAACGCUGGCGGCAUGCCUAACACAUGCAAGUCGAACGAGACCUUCGGGUCUAGUGGCGCACGGGUGCGUAACGCGUGGGAACCUGCCCUUAGGUCCGGAAUAACUCCCCGAAAGGGGUGCUAAUACCGGAUAAUGUCUUCGGACCAAAGAUUUAUCGCCUUUGGAUGGGCCCGCGUUGGAUUAGCUAGUUGGUAGGGUAAAAGCCUACCAAGGCGACGAUCCAUAGCUGGUCUGAGAGGAUGAUCAGCCACACUGGGACUGAGACACGGCCCAGACUCCUACGGGAGGCAGCAGUGGGGAAUAUUGGACAAUGGGCGAAAGCAUGAUCCAGCAAUGCCGCGUGAGUGAUGAAGGCCUUAGGGUUGUAAAGCUCUUUUACCCGGGAUGAUAAUGACAGUACCGGGAGAAUAAGCUCCGGCUAACUCCGUG
RNAcentral lists this ribosomal RNA (433 nucleotides) under uncultured bacterium. RNAcentral describes it as "partial 16S ribosomal RNA". It matches the Rfam family "Bacterial small subunit ribosomal RNA", at positions 29 to 507 of the family's 1533-position model. The record is from RNAcentral.